GGGAGUUGGGUCAGGUGUUUGGAAGAACUUUCUCCCCCCAGGCAUUUAUCCUCCUCCUUGCUGUUAACUGUGUUUGUCACCUGAUAGCUGACCUUACUCAUGAAGACUGAAGGAAAAAAGGGGUCUUCAGAGAGUGAUUAUGCAUCCCUGAUGUGAAGUUAUAACGUAUGUACCAUAGGAAAUUCUGGUGAUUAAAGAUCAUGGCAACCAUAGAGGAACUGGCCCAUCAAAUUAUUGAACAUCAAAUGGGAGAGAUUGCGCACUCCCAAGGAGCUGCUACACAAACCCUGAUGGAUGGAACAGCACAAAGAAUACAAAUUGUCCCAGGUGAUUCAGGACUGUCUUUACCACAACGCAUACAGGUAUG
Molecule: long non-coding RNA, 367 nt
Organism: Alligator sinensis (Chinese alligator)
Lineage: Eukaryota; Metazoa; Chordata; Crocodylia; Alligatoridae
Exons: 5
Source: RefSeq, a predicted model, not a curated record